Long non-coding RNA from Triticum aestivum (bread wheat), 672 nucleotides. RefSeq lists it as uncharacterized. The transcript is spliced from 3 exons. NCBI's taxonomy places the organism in Eukaryota, Viridiplantae, Streptophyta, Magnoliopsida, Poales, Poaceae. The record is from RefSeq and is a predicted model, not a curated record.
UUGUUGACACAGACAAAGAGAGCUUGGUAACUUCCAGAUCAUCACGUCUCCUUCCUUCUAUGCUUAUUUAUGCAUGUUUCUUCUCACAUGCCAUUGAAACAGUCUGAUCAGUUAAUGAGUCUGUCACUGAAAAGGAAAAUUCACCACAGCUUGGCAGUUCCAUGGAGAAGGAUAACUUACCGUUGCCUGAUCAGACCUCCGAUGCAAAAAGGCCCCAACCAUCUGUCCCUGUCGAUGCUCGAAGCAAUCCGAGCAAGCGGGGCAGAUAGAAGUAGAAACAUCGCCUGGUAGGCGAGUCAUCUUUUGGAGAUCCAAGACUUUUUGUUAACGUUGCUGUAAAUGGACGGUUUCUUAUUAGUAUGCCUGUACGAGCGAGUCCCGUGCUUGAGCUUCGGCUCGUAGGCACUUACCGCCACAUCACUUGGUUGCUUAUGGGCAACAAUGGCAACUAUCACAAUCAUGUUUCUGUCCAUCCGGACUAUCAGGCUACUUGGCUAGAAGCUGUAUUUUUGUCAGGUUUGAAUGAUUCAGAUUCGCUUAUUGCAGUCUCAUUUCUUGGUUUAAGUCUGUAUAAUAUUCUGUGCUGAGUCCUUGUCUGUUGCAUGUGUGCAGGACUGCAGGGUAUGAGAUCGAUGUAUACAUGCAUGCCCUAGACUCGGUGCCCCGGAGUGA